CUACGGGACGCACCAGUGGGGAAUAUCGCACAAUGGAGGAAACUCUGAUGCAGCAACGCCGCGUGGAGGAUGACACUUUUCGGAGCGUAAACUCCUUUUAUAUAGGAAGAAGAUGACGGUACUAUAUGAAUAAGCGCCGGCUAACUCCGUGCCAGCAGCCGCGGUAAUACGGAGGGCGCAAGCGUUACUCGGAAUCACUGGGCGUAAAGAGCGUGUAGGCGGAUUAAAAAGUCAGAAGUGAAAUCCUAUAGCUUAACUAUAGAACUGCUUCUGAAACUCUUAAUCUAGAAUAUGGGAGAGGUAGAUGGAAUUUCUGGUGUAGGGGUAAAAUCCGUAGAGAUCAGAAGGAAUACCGAUUGCGAAGGUGAUCUACUAGAACAUUAUUGACGCUGAGACGCGAAAGCGUGGGGAGCAAACAGGAUUAGAUACCCCCGUAGUC
RNAcentral lists this ribosomal RNA (439 nucleotides) under uncultured bacterium. Its description in RNAcentral is "partial 16S ribosomal RNA". It matches the Rfam family "Bacterial small subunit ribosomal RNA", at positions 339 to 795 of the family's 1533-position model. The record is from RNAcentral.